CUCUCUCUCACUCACUCUCUCUUACGUGCAAUACGUAUACGGCCGCCGCUCAACACUCUCCUCUCAGUCUCACUCUCCUUGCCGCUCCACUCUCCUCUCACUCUCUCAUUUUUACGGCCGCCGGCGCCGCUCCAUUUCUAUCUAAUCUCAGCCCUCAGGUCAGGUCGGAGGUCGCACAAGCUCACCAUCUUCAGAACUCACUUCUCAGCCCUCAGGUCGCAUCGCAGCCGCCAGCCAUCAGGUCUCAGCCUCUCGUCUCACUCUCAGCCCUAUCGUAUCGUUUCACUCUCAGCCCUCAGGUCGCACAAGCUCACCAUCUUCAGAAGCUCACUCACAUCUCACACUCACAGCUCAGAGGUUCGAUUGCUUCCUUUCUUCGUUUUAUUGGUUUUGUUAGUUUCUUUGUUUCUUCUUUUUUUGCAGUUUCUUCGAUCCUCAUCAUUUUCUUAAUUUCUAAUUCAGGCUCAGCAGCUAUUGUUUCUAAUUUAGGCUUAACAGCUCCAUUUCUAAUU
This 512-nucleotide long non-coding RNA is filed under the name Medicago truncatula (barrel medic). Its description in RNAcentral is "long non-coding RNA (MTRU_LNC003581)". The record is from RNAcentral. Lineage: Eukaryota; Viridiplantae; Streptophyta; Magnoliopsida; Fabales; Fabaceae.